GCCCUGAGGUGAGCCGCUGAGGACAAGACAGACAGUCCUCUGCACUCCCGCGUCUCGUCCUCUUCUGCUCCAUUCUUCUCCGCCGCUGCAGAGGCGGGAAGAGGGGGUGCGGCGGCGGCGGCGGCGGCGGCGGGUUGGCGGGCUUCAGUCGAGUAGCCGAAGUCCCACAGUAACCCUCUCUCACUCGUACUCACCGGGCUCCGUUCCGAGCAGCGUCGGCGUCAAAUACUGAUCGCAGCCCGUCUUGUUAUUGGAGAGCUUACCUGGCCCCUGAGGAGAGUAACUGUCGUAUCUACAACUAGUCUAACAAUAGGGACUCUUUUUAUCGACCUUCUUGAAUAAAAGUAUGUAUCCCGGGCCAAAAGAGCAGAGAUAGCGAAUAUAACUAGGACCGUUAAAACUCUGCCUGGAUGUCCGACCUCGUGUUAUGUUUAUACUCGAAGAAACCUAGUAUGAAUAGCGCAGUACACGACGUGAACAGUAAGUUAGUGAACGUCGGUCGGAACCCCAACACUGACCCUUCGUAGAACGACUCGUGACGUCCCGACUUAUAGGGUUCCAGUGUUUAAAGUAGAAUACCUAAGAACGUCUUGACCGACAUCAACGCACGCUGUAAGGACUUCAUUAACCUUGGCGAAAGCGAAACUUGUACGAGAAGUUUUAAGGCUAUACCACACCACAAGAGUAUUGACCCGAGUCGUGAGACUACGAGGACAAGGACGUUGUUAUACCCCAGGCAUUUGACCUUAAAGACUAUCGUAAAAACCAUAAGAACUAUCGUUGAACGAAGAAUCAACUUGAACCCAUAAGAUUUGGUUUAAGAAGUCUUCAACACGCUCCGGAAAAACAAGGACUUUAAUUUCCUCUACCUCGAUGUCCAGAACGAUAGAGUGAUGAACCACGAUACCACUACGGCGUGUUAGAAAAAGAGGUGAGUCGUAACCAUGAUAGUUCUUUUCAUGGUGCUAGUCAAGUACCCUAGUUUCUCCGGACAUCUAAGAUAUACUAACUUUCACGUAAACGGGAGUGUCAUCGGAAAGACUAGUUGUAGAGAUAGUAUAGACAAUCACCACGACAAACGUCACGUCUAUUAAACUUGGGACUUCUGGCCUACUUAACGUUACUAGAUCUAGAAUUGUUUCGAAGUAAGAACAAUUUCUUACAGGAGCCUUUAACCUCGAGUUUCCACAAGAGAUAACGGAAUAACCGUAGACCGGUCUCAAGAUGCUAAUGUCCUUGAAUACGUCCUGUUAUACAGUACGUCCCCAAAGACCUAGAAGCCUACUGUGGGACCAAUGCUUUGGAAGAUUGAUCCAGGGACCGUUAACACGGAUCAGACUAACACAGUGAUUAACCGCCAAGGAGUCGUCGACCCUUCAACUAAUAGUAACGUAGUUACUAGGACAGUAAACUUGAAGGAAAACGAGACCAUGGCGAGGAAUUUAAGUGGUCGUCGUUUUGUUUCUACCCCGGUGUGUGUUUAAGUUCUAAGUAAAGGCACGAGUGUACCCGCUAGCCGAGGAAGUAGUACCAGUAGUUGUAGAUGAAGGACUAUUGCUCGAAGCAGUCCGACGAAGAAGUGUCGCCUGAUAGGUGGCAGAGGGUCCACAAGAGGCCCUAUAAACCCAAGGAGCCGUACGACUAUAUGUAGCGGCGCUAGGAGAUGGAGCAGAAGUCCUUCUUGUCCUUCACAUGGAACGGCAACGAGCUCACGCUGCGCUUCGAACCCCUGCGUCCGGUGUGGCUCCCUCUUCCAAGAGACCCAGUAGAAGGCGCUCUCCUGUAGAGGUCGUACGUCGAAGGAGUAGUCGCGGGACGCAGACUAAACCUGAUCGGCUUCAUCGGCGUCGCUCCUUUGAUCUAUACAAACACCAGUACCACUACUACGUCAUCGACGUAUUGACUUCUUCAAUCCACAGUAGGCCAUAACUACAUCUAUUGGCUUCACUAAAAUAUCACCGGCUUAAUUUUAGAAAGAACGCCUUUACCUAUCAACCAUAUCAACGGUUAUUGAAAGCUACCAUGAUAGCUAACCUCUGUUCACCCAGAUAUAAUAUAGAUCUUUCUCUUUUUCUUACUUAAAGUAGACGAG
This 2092-nucleotide ribosomal RNA is filed under the name Triticum aestivum (bread wheat). RNAcentral's name for it is "partial small subunit ribosomal RNA". Lineage: Eukaryota; Viridiplantae; Streptophyta; Magnoliopsida; Poales; Poaceae. The record is from RNAcentral.